GUGAGGAAUAUUGGUCAAUGGGCGAGAGCCUGAACCAGCCAAGUCGCGUGAAGGAUGAAGGUUUUAUGAAUUGUAAACUUCUUUUGCAGGGGAAUAAAGUACGGUACGUGUACCGUUUUGUAUGUACUCUGCGAAUAAGGAUCGGCUAACUCCGUGCCAGCAGCCGCGGUAAUACGGAGGAUCCAAGCGUUAUCCGGAUUUAUUGGGUUUAAAGGGUGCGCAGGCGGGUUGAUAAGUCAGCGGUGAAAGUUUGCAGCUUAACUGUAAAAAUGCCGUUGAAACUGUCGGACUUGAGUGUAAAUGAGGUAGGCGGAAUGCGUGGUGUAGCGGUGAAAUGCAUAGAUAUCACGCAGAACUCCGAUUGCGAAGGCAGCUUACUAAGCUACAACUGACACUGAAGCACGAAAGCGUGGGGAUCAAACAGGAUUAGAAACCCUGGUAGUCC
This 445-nucleotide ribosomal RNA is filed under the name uncultured bacterium. RNAcentral's name for it is "partial 16S ribosomal RNA". It matches the Rfam family "Bacterial small subunit ribosomal RNA", at positions 354 to 796 of the family's 1533-position model. The record is from RNAcentral.